GCCAGACUCCUACGGGAGGCAGCAGUGGGGGAUAUUGCACAAUGGGGGGAACCCUGAUGCAGCGACGCCGCGUGAGUGAAGAAGUAAUUCGUUAUGUAAAGCUCUAUCAGCAGGGAAGAAUAAAUGACGGUACCUGAGUAAGAAGCCCCGGCUAACUACGUGCCAGCAGCCGCGGUAAUACGUAGGGGGCAAGCGUUAUCCGGAUUUACUGGGUGUAAAGGGAGCGCAGGCGGCACGGCAAGCCUGAUGUGAAAGCCCGCGGCCCAACCGCGGGACUGCAUUGGGAACUACCGGGCUGGAGUGCCGGAGAGGUAGGCGGAAUUCCUAGUGUAGCGGUGAAAUGCGUAGAUAUUAGGAGGAACACCAGUGGCGAAGGCGGCCUACGGGACGGUGACUGACGCUGAGGCUCGAAAGCGUGGGGAGCAAACAGGAUUAGAUACCCGCGUAG
This 448-nucleotide ribosomal RNA is filed under the name uncultured bacterium. RNAcentral's name for it is "bacterial SSU rRNA". It matches the Rfam family "Bacterial small subunit ribosomal RNA", at positions 330 to 793 of the family's 1533-position model. The record is from RNAcentral.